UCUUGGUCAUUUAGAGGAAGUAAAAGUCGUAACAAGGUAUCUGUAGGUGAACCUGCAGAUGGAUCAUUUCGAUGAAAACCUUUUUUUCUGAGGUGUGGCUCGCACCUGUCCAACUAAACUUGAGCUACCCUUUUACAACACGGUUGCAUCGGUCGGCCUGUCAAACAGCGCGCGCGAAUGUGCGUCUGGGCGACGAGUCGGCACUUUACACAAACACUUUUGAUAAUCUAGGAUUUGAAGGAAAAAAGUUUCAUUUUUACGAUGAAAUCCGACUGGUAAUGCGGUCGUCUAAAUCUAAAAACAACUUUUGGCAACGGAUCUCUUGGUUCUCCCAUCGAUGAAGAACGCAGCGAAUUGCGAUAAGUAAUGUGAAUUGCAGAAGUGAAUCAUCGAAUCUUUGAACGCACCUUGCGCUCCCGGCAGAUCUAAUCUGGGGAGCAUGCCUGUUUGAGGGCCGCGAAUUGUUUCGAACGUCGCCUUUUUUUCACGAAAAAGGAGACGGAUCGGUAGUGAGGGUUUUUGCCAUUUACCGUGGCUCCCUCGAAAUGCAUUAGCGCAUCCAUUUGAUAGGCAAAGACGGACGAAAGCUCGCCUUUUGGCCCUUUCUUCCCUGCCGGGUUUUGAUAAUAUCAGGACUUCGGAGACGAAGAAAGGGUCUGAGCUGGACGCAACGACUUUGCUGGUUGGCGUGCUUCUGAACCCCGCCCAUGCCUUCUCGCUUCGGCGAAAGGGAAGGGAUUUUUACAAAUUCAUCGGCCUCAGAUUGGUAGGACUACCCGCUGAACUUAAGCAUAUCAAUAAGCGGAGGAA
Molecule: ribosomal RNA, 810 nt
Filed under: Ustilago sp. TMS-2011
Lineage: Eukaryota; Fungi; Basidiomycota; Ustilaginomycetes; Ustilaginales; Ustilaginaceae
Description: eukaryotic LSU rRNA
Rfam family: 5.8S ribosomal RNA (bases 303-457)
Source: RNAcentral